RNAcentral lists this unclassified non-coding RNA (4635 nucleotides) under Penaeus japonicus. Its description in RNAcentral is "guanine nucleotide-binding protein G(q) subunit alpha, transcript variant X1". Lineage: Eukaryota; Metazoa; Arthropoda; Malacostraca; Decapoda; Penaeidae. The record is from RNAcentral.
CUUUCAGCAGGUUCUUCCCCGGCAACGCUGCACUCUUUAAGGAAUUAUUCGUCAAGAGGCCCAUUUGUGGCAGCGAGAAACCUUAAAACUUCCACUAACUAAGUCCUAGUGGUCACAGAGGCAGGCGUUAAUCCCGUAUAUAAGCGAGAGAGCAGAGAGAGAGAGAAAAUAGCAGGGAGGAGGCGCACUGAGCAGACGGCCGCACCAAACCCCACCCCAUUUGGCUUAGGGAUUUUGUGUGGAGGAAAUAAGCCCAAAAUUGAGAAAAUUCCCCGAUUAAACGCCGCUUCCCCUUCGUGGCGAAAGGCGGGCUGAAAGAGGAGAGGAAGGAGGUGAAAUUAGUCCCGAAGUUGGAGUGAAAGGAAGUCAAAAUUGGUAAUAAUAUUAGUUGAUCAGCAAACAUGGCGUGCUGUUUAAGCGAAGAAGCCAAGGAACAGAAGAGGAUAAACCAAGAAAUAGAACGACAAUUAAGGAAAGAUAAGAGAGAUGCCAGAAGAGAACUCAAACUACUGUUAUUGGGCACAGGAGAAUCUGGCAAAUCUACCUUCAUCAAGCAGAUGCGUAUUAUCCACGGUGCAGGUUACAGCGAUGAUGACAAGCGAGGGUUCAUCAAGCUGGUCUUCCAGAACAUCUUCAUGGCCAUGCAGUCAAUGAUCAGGGCCAUGGACCUCCUUCAAAUAUCUUACGGAGACUCUGCAAACAGUGAACAUGCAGAUCUGGUGCGAGCGGUGGACUACGAGUCAGUCACAACGUUUGAGGAGCCAUAUGUAACUGCCAUGAAAAGCUUAUGGGCUGACACCGGCAUCCAACACUGCUAUGAUCGUCGCAGAGAGUACCAGCUCACAGAUUCAGCAAAAUACUAUUUAACAGACUUAGACCGCAUAGCUGCCGAGGACUAUGUUUCCACACUACAAGACAUUCUAAGAGUGAGAGCACCCACAACAGGCAUUAUAGAAUAUCCCUUUGACCUAGAAGAAAUCAGAUUUAGAAUGGUAGAUGUCGGUGGUCAGCGAUCUGAGCGACGGAAGUGGAUUCACUGCUUCGAGAAUGUCACCUCCAUCAUUUUCCUGGUUGCACUGUCUGAGUAUGAUCAGAUCUUGUUUGAGUCUGACAAUGAGAACCGAAUGGAAGAAUCAAAGGCCCUGUUCAAGACCAUUAUCACAUACCCCUGGUUCCAGCACUCGUCUGUUAUUCUCUUCCUUAACAAGAAGGAUCUGUUGGAGGAGAAGAUCAUGUACUCACAUCUGGUGGAUUAUUUCCCAGAAUAUGAUGGACCAAAAGAGGACCAUGUUGCAGCUCGUGAAUUCGUUCUGAAGAUGUACCUUGCCCAAAACCCAGAUCCCGACCGAAUGUGUUAUUCUCACUUUACUUGUGCCACAGACACUGAGAACAUCAAAUUGGUGUUCUGCGCUGUAAAGGAUACCAUCAUGCAGAAUGCUCUUAAGGAGUACAACCUCGCCUAAUGUUCCUCCUCUUACUUCUCUUGUGUUCCGUCUGUUCAUCUACACUUGCAAGACACUGAGAACAUAAGGUUCGUCUUCGCUGCCGUCAAAGACACAAUCCUGCAGCUAAAUCUAAAGGAAUACAAUCUGGUGUAACGUAGAGCUGUGCCCAACUCUGGCCGAAAGUGUACCCAAGGUGAAGUGACAGCAUACCCCCCUACUCUUGUGAGGGGCUGUCGGUUGAGGCCUCACUUCAUCACCCUAACAUGGACACUAAACUAUGAAGGCAGUCAUAUUUUGCAUUUUUAAAACCCAUAUUCAGUGUCCCAAAGAAAUAAAGGCUCUAUGCUUUAUUUUUCUUUCUUUUUUCUUUUUCUUUUUUUUUUCCUCAAUUUCCAAAGAUUUGUGUGAGCCUUCAGUUCCCUUCCAAGUCAAGCCAUCCUGUUUGGGACAGCUUCAGCUAUUUGCAGACAGCCUAAAUUGAGGAUGUUUUGAUGCCAAAGGGCCUUGACACCUUCAAUUAUGUAGUUCCAAUUUAUGUAAUGUACGCCAUUUCCAAGUCCUCAGUUGCGUACAAUGUCUGUUAACCCAAAGUCUCACACCCGGAAGGGGCGGAUUAACUAGUCCAAAGCCAUGACUGGUUCCAUUUUUGACUGUUGCCAUGUUGCCAAAAGGACCGCCCCUACCCAUGUCCCGUGCUCAUUACCAACGCUGCCAACGAGCUUAGUGCUCUCUGGUCGUAAUGGUGCUCCCUAAGCCCUGAUUCACGCGUGUGGAUGUGUGUGUGUCGCUUAAGCCACACUCAGCCGCUGCUACAUGUGCGUAACUUGGAGCUAAUGUUAGUGUGUACACUGAUAAACAUCAUGGGCUGACACACUCCACAUCUAACGAAGUAUUGCUCCAGCCUCGUUUUCUUGCCUUUGCGGGAAAGUUUGCUUGCCUUGCAGGUGAUUGUUAGGAUGUUUUGUGUUGGUGGCUUUUGUAUAUUACACAUAUAUAAACAUUAUGUGGUCUAACGUUUCAUCUUUAGUGUGUGAUAAUAUGUAGUUGAUCAUGAGAGGAGCUAUCCAUAAUGUAUAGGCCUGCAAAGUUUCCUGGGGGUUAAGGAAGAAAGAAGUGCUUGCUACUGAGACUUUUAUGCACCUCCAAAGUAAUGCAUCUGGACCACAAGUAAGUAGAGCACAGAAAACUACUUGAAGAUGCAACAGCCAAAUGCAGUGAGUCUUAUGGCGUCCAGAGUGUGAGAAAAGAGAAAGAGUCAACAGAACAACAGAGAAGGAACAACAGAAGAAGAAGCAGUUUUGAAUUCUGAUUUCUGAGAGUGAUACUUAGAAAUGUUAAGCAUUGAGUACUUUGCUGCCACUUACCUUAGGUUGGUACAAAUCUGAAUAAAUCAGGUACCAAGUAUGAGUAGCUGCUGUAAGAUUUGGAAAUGUAUCUACCUAUGAGGGCAUCAGUGCUUGUGAUAUAUUGGUGGUAGCGAGUAUGGCUUUAAAAUGUCUCCUUAGAUAGCCAGAUCUCUUCUGCCUGGUGAAAGGCAAAGCCAGGUACCAACACUACCUACCAAGUGACACAGAAGCUUAUUGGUGAGGUGCUACAGACUGUAGGCUCUUAAUAUCUACUCUUGCGUCAAAAAGUGCAAUUCAAAGAUAGCUGACUCGGAGCUGAGACUUAAGACUCUUGUGGCUUAUGCGAAAGUGAGCCUAGAAUGGUAUUUUUGAGUAUCACUAGCCAUUUACUGAUAAUCAUGCUUGUAUGUGACGUGUGUUCAAUGCAACCUGGGCACAAGGGUGUGCCUGCAAACGUGUCCAGCACUGUCCCCGAUGAUAGGAUGUUGAUUUAUGAUAAUGAGUGUGAUAAUGGUGAUGAUUGUUGAAUGAUGAUGAUUGUAGACGGAAGCACUAGUCAGUAUGGGCGCGGGUAAACACAAUUGCCCACUGCUCAUGUUACUUGUAUAUAUGUGUCUGUAAUAAUAACUAUUAGGUGUAUGGGUGCGGGGUAACCUGGUGAACCCCCAUGGAUUGCCAAUAGAGAAGGUAGCGAAUGAACGGAUGCUGAGAGUAAAUGAACAGACCACGGACAAAGACGUUCCAAAAGCUUGGCGCACCCUAGCGAAAGGGCUGUGUGCUAAUUCUAGUCUCUGGUGCCAUCAGGUGUUUCUUACUAGACAAGCCCAUUCAGUUUUGGGCUGGUCUGAACCUGGCCAUUCUGGCAGACAAACUCGGAUCAGCUGGUGAGGGAGAAAAAACCCGUAGUUGACAGCUGAGCAGAGCGGGCAAAGUGGCUCAUGAUGAAAGCUUUGCCUGCAGCGUAGACUUAGCUCAAUCCCCAGCCAUGUGAGGUACGCAUGGCACGUGUGCUUCUGCUUGCAGGUUCUGCCAUGUUUGUUGGGCUGCUUGUAUAAUUAGUAGAGAGACUAAUGGAAUUACACACAGCCCUGGAAAUGAGCCUUGACCUUCCAAUCGUUUGUACACUUGUUGUUAUAUUCUUAACUUCAGGUUGCAUUUUGUCUAUUGUUUGUAGUAUGUACAGACCAAGUAAGGUAUUAUUUUUAUUCAUUAUCUUUACUUUUAUGGAAAGAAUGUGUUGACAAGUAAUUACCAAUCAUGUGUAUUCAAAAAGACUUGUACUAAGGUUAAAAAAUUGAAAACCCCAUAUGUACCAAAGUAUAACUUGAUUUUAUUUUUGAAGUGGCCGACAUGUAGCAUGCAGUAGUAGUGGGCGGAGGAGGCGUCCACAUAGCCACCCUGCUGCCCUGCCCCGGUAUUUAGCACUGCCUACUGCUCCACCCACCCUGGGUCCUCCCCCGGCCCUGGGGGGCAUGGAAGCUUUGGCACCGGGGCAGGUGUGGCUUGGGGGGGCCAAGGCCCCAGUCUCCCCCCUGCAGGACCCUGGCCCCUCCCUGGCAUGUUGUCGCAAGAUGUAACCACCAGAGAUGAACUAAACCUUUCUAAUGGCUGCACCUUGCCCUGCCUCCUUCCUGGUGCCUAGCCAGUCACAACAGCGGUGUUUGGCUAGGUACUAGCGUGUGGGCAGCAAAAGGUCAACAAUACACCUGCUGCCCACACUUCCUCCCAUCCUCUGCAGUGCUUCAACCACACCAACUCGGUCCACUACUGUACUAUUCAUUAAGCUUCAGACCGAAAGAAUAAAGAGGGAUUUGUGUUUUAAGAAUAAAUAUUUAUUGAAACAA